UUUUUGAUUAUUUGUAUGGUGCCCUUCCCUGCAAAAUUUUUACCAUAAGAAAUUUCAAAGGAAUUUCGUCAGUAGAGACUGUAGAGUGCAUAUGAUUCCACGGCAAUUCGAGUUUUGAAUGAAAUUGAUGAAACCCAACUCGCCUAUCUUCCUCAUUUGAUAGUCUGUAGCUGGCUGGCUAAAUCAACACCGAGUUCAACCCAUCGAGUUGAACUCGGUUCACUGCAAACAAAUGGCUUCGUGACCAAAGAGAAUUAUAACAAGAUGACUCAUUUUAUUCUUUGUACUGUAUCAUCAGAAUGCAGAAAGCAUUUUUGCUCCAUGAGAACGAAUAAAAG
This 338-nucleotide long non-coding RNA is filed under the name Panax ginseng (ginseng). Its description in RNAcentral is "long non-coding RNA (PGIN_LNC018192)". Lineage: Eukaryota; Viridiplantae; Streptophyta; Magnoliopsida; Apiales; Araliaceae. The record is from RNAcentral.